AAAUUCACUUUGAUAAUGCAUUGUAAUACCCUCCAAAAAUUUAGCCAAAGAAAGGAUGAUUGUCUGCUCUCUUUCUGCCAGAAUGGGACUGUUUCAAGGGAAGGCUCCUUACAGUGAAGAAAAGGGUCAAAUCCAAUUAAAAUUGCAAAGGAAACUUCGCGAGGACGAAUGCCAUUAGCCCAAACUGGAAUGUGGCCAAAACACGGGCCUGGCAUAAGGGUUGGAAUUACAAGUCAGACAGGGCUGAGCAGCAAUCUUCAAGAAAAUUGCUCUAAAUUGGCCUUCAUUAGCUCUCACGGCACUGAAAAACAACUCCAAUGCAUGCCUAUGGAAGGCCGAGAACCCUCAGCGUCGAGGAGCCGGGUGUCGAGUGCAAUCAGCUCUGUCUCUAUGCGGAUGUCACAGAUCCAGUGCUCUGCUUGGGACAGAAGGACCCGGGUGUUGAAGGCAAGGUGUGACCGGCUAGCGGCUCUGAGCCACUGUGAUCACCGUUUCCCGUUCGAGACGCAGAGGGGAAGACGCACGCCAACGCGGGCUUGGGCCUCUUCCGGGCCUCCUCCCUUUGGAGAGGCCGGGGUUAGCUCAGCAAUUCCGCUCACUCGCUCCGUGCCCUGGAGAAAGAAAUGUUCUCUUUGCAAGCUGCUUCACCACCUGUAACAGUAGGAGAACGAUACCUUCUCUUUCCACAAAUAUUCAGAGAAGCCUACCAGAUACCAGGCACCAUUCUGGGUCCUGAAACACAGGAGAAGGUAGCAGACAGGCCUGGAUAGGGAUGCGAACUCUCAAGCUAGACACGAGUUUCAAAUUCAGGGUCCAUCACUUGGUUAGCUGUAGGACCACGGAGAAAUCCAGUUCCUGGUACCUCGGCCCCCUCAACUAUUAAAUGGGAGUGGUAAUAUUAUGACCCCCGUAGAAUGGACGAGACCAAUUAUCUAAUGGGCAUAGAUAGCUUGCCAUGGUGGGCUGGCCCUAUGGAAAGCUCAACAAUUAUCGUGGUGUUACCUG
Long non-coding RNA from Homo sapiens (human), 1005 nucleotides. RefSeq lists it as uncharacterized. The record is from RefSeq and is a predicted model, not a curated record. The transcript has 3 exons. Lineage: Eukaryota; Metazoa; Chordata; Mammalia; Primates; Hominidae.